CCCAGUCAGGGGUCAGGAAAGGAUGAAGCAGAGUGACUAUUUUCAGAAAUGUGCUGGCAUUUUGGAGACAAUUGAUGUUUGGGAACCCAGAGACCCACCCUGCUACACCCUCUGCUUGCAUUUGCAUAGACUGCUGAACCUGUUUGUGGAUCCCAUGAACCUGCUGCUGUGCACACCACCAGUCUGCUGGUCUCCAGACAGGGGCUCUGUGCCCCGGCACCUGGCCAGCUUGCCCUGAAAACCCUGAGAUGCUCAAGCCCCCUUCACAACAAAGGGGCCUAAGAGGCAGCAAGACCCUGAGUGAUGCCCCCAAUGACCUGAUGACUGCCCAUGAAAUCCCACCUCUUGAAGACCCCACCAUCUCUUAAUUCCACCACAAUGGAGACCAAACUUGCAACAGUCAAACCUUUGGGAGAUAAGCCUGCACUAUACCCAAACCAUAACAAUAGACAACUCUACUGAAGUGUUGGAUGUAGAAAU
RNAcentral lists this long non-coding RNA (480 nucleotides) under Heterocephalus glaber (naked mole-rat). RNAcentral's name for it is "lncRNA (ENSHGLG00000045109.1)". Lineage: Eukaryota; Metazoa; Chordata; Mammalia; Rodentia; Bathyergidae. The record is from RNAcentral.